Molecule: transfer RNA, 65 nt
Filed under: Dipodomys ordii (Ord's kangaroo rat)
Lineage: Eukaryota; Metazoa; Chordata; Mammalia; Rodentia; Heteromyidae
Rfam family: tRNA
About the family: Transfer RNA (tRNA) molecules are approximately 80 nucleotides in length. Their secondary structure includes four short double-helical elements and three loops (D, anti-codon, and T loops).
Source: Rfam by way of RNAcentral
GGGAAGGUGGCUCAGUGGUAGAGCACUUGCCUUGCAUGCUCGAGGCCCUGGGUUCGAUUCCUCAG